UACGACCAUAUCCCAUUGAUACAACAGUUCUCAUAUGAUCACUGAAGUUAAGCAACAUUGAGCCUGGUCAGUACCUAGAUGGAUAACCACUUAGGAAUACCAAGUGCUGUGA
Non-coding RNA from Acanthosepion pharaonis, 112 nucleotides. NCBI's taxonomy places the organism in Eukaryota, Metazoa, Mollusca, Cephalopoda, Sepiida, Sepiidae. The record is from the annotation of a GenBank genome assembly.